RNAcentral lists this ribosomal RNA (261 nucleotides) under uncultured bacterium. RNAcentral describes it as "partial 16S ribosomal RNA". It matches the Rfam family "Bacterial small subunit ribosomal RNA", at positions 80 to 339 of the family's 1533-position model. The record is from RNAcentral.
AAGUGCUAUUGCUUAGUGGCGGACGGGUGAGUAACACGUGAGCAACCUACCUUUUGCAGGGGAAUAACUCUGGGAAACCAGAGCUAAUACCGCAUGUCGUGCACAUGGGGCAUCCCAGGUGCAUGAAAGGAGCAAUCCGGCAGAAGAUGGGCUCGCGUCCGAUUAGGUAGUUGGAGAGGUAAUGGCUCCCCAAGCCGACGAUCGGUAGCCGGACUGAGAGGUCGAUCGGCCACAUUGGGACUGAGACACGGCCCAGACUCC